GAUGUAUUGACGCUGAGGCACGAAAGCUAGGGUAGCGAACGGGAUUAGAUACCCCGGUAGUCCUAGCCGUAAACGAUGUCCACUGGGGCGUGGCGGUACUGACGCCGUCACGCCCGUAGCAAAAGUGUUAAGUGGACCGCCUGGGGAGUACGGUCGCAAGGCUAAAACUCAAAGGAAUUGACGGGGGCUCACACAAGCGGUGGAGCAUGUGGUUUAAUUCGAAGCAACACGAAGAACCUUACCAGGGCUUGACAUCCACGGAUUAUCUCGGUGAAAGCCGAGUACGCUGCUUGCAGUGGAACGUGGACAGGUGCUGCAUGGCUGUCGUCAGCUCGUGUCGUGAGAUGUCGGGUUAAGUCCCUUAACGAGCGAAACCUUUGCCUCUAGUUGCCAGCGGGUAAUGCCGGGGACUCUAGAGGGACUGCCGGUGUCAAACCGGAGGAAGGUGGAGAUGACGUCAAGUCAUCAUGGCCCUUACGUCCUGGGCCACACACGUGCUACAAUGGUCGAGACAAAGCGAACCGAUACGGUGACGUGGAGGAAAUCGCAAAAACUCGGCCCCAGUUCGGAUCGAAGGCUGCAACUCGCCUUCGUGAAGUUGGAAUCGCUAGUAAUCGCGUAUCAGCCAUGACGCGGUGAAUGUGUUCCUGAGCCUUGCACACACCGCCCGUC
Molecule: ribosomal RNA, 672 nt
Filed under: uncultured bacterium
Lineage: Bacteria
Description: bacterial SSU rRNA
Rfam family: Bacterial small subunit ribosomal RNA
Source: RNAcentral